Molecule: non-coding RNA, 1525 nt
Organism: Mauremys mutica (yellowpond turtle)
Lineage: Eukaryota; Metazoa; Chordata; Testudines; Geoemydidae
Source: the annotation of a RefSeq genome assembly
AUGGGGCCCCCGAUCACACACUGGGUCUCUUUAGCACCAAGUGAACUGGGGGCCCUGAUGCUGCUCGUGCUGCCCCAGUGCCACGCUAGGGCCUGUGCUGCACGGAGCGGGGCAGGGCUCAGUGGGGCUGUGUCUCAUGGCCUCGCUCUCUCUCCCUUUGCAGCUAGUGCCAUGGCCCCGUCUGUCUUCCCCCUGACCUCCUGCACCGGCGAAGUCACCACCUCCCAGGUCACCUUUGGCUGCCUGGCCCAAGGCUACUUCCCCGAGCCGGUCACCGUGACAUGGAGCCCCAACGUCGGCUCCUCGGGCGUGAGGACCUAUCCCUCCGUGCUGCAACCUUCCAGCAGCCUCUACUCGCUCAGCAGCCAGGUCACCGUCCCGGCCAGCAGCUGGACGUCUAACACCUAUAACUGCACCGUAGAGCACCAGCCCACCAGCUCCAGCAUGUCCAAGGAAAUCCCAAAGCCCCCCAAACCCCAGGCCCCCAUUACACCCAAGAUGAAAAUCGUCUCCAACACCAGCCGAGACCCCGUCCAGCUGGCGUGCUUCAUCUCCGGCUUCUACCCUGAGAAUUUGACGGUGGAAUGGAUGGAAUGGAUGGUUGACGGCCAGCCCAGGAAACUUCCUAGUGUCACUGCCCUUGCCACGAAGGACCCCAACGGCCCCACCUACAGCACCCACUGCAAUGCCAGUGUCUCCAAGGCCGACUGGCGAAAGGUCUACUUAUACACGUGCCAGGUGUCCCAGCCGGGCACCCCCGUCAAAUCGCAGGGCCACACCAACAAGUGCAGAGAAGAAACAUCUCCCGGCGAUAUCCAGGUCUUCCUGGUGCCCCCGUCUCCCGCCGACUUGUACGUGGCCCAGAGCCCCAUGCUCACCUGCCUGGUGGUCAACCUGCCUAGCAACUCCGGCCUCCAGGUGGUCUGGUCCCGGGAGAAGACAGAGUCUGUUGUCCCUGAACCCCUGACCCUCACUGAGCAGUUCAACAGCACCUUCACCGCCUCCAGCUCCAUGCCCAUCUUCACCCGCGACUGGGAGGCCGGAGAGACCUUCACCUGCAAAGUGGAGCACUCAGAGCUGCCCUCGUCCCUCACCAAAUCGAUGUCCAAGAAGCCAGGCAGGCGCUCUGGCCCUGGCAUCUACCUCCUGCACCCCCACAAUGAGGAGUUGAGCAGCUCUAGAGACUCCAUCAGCCUCACCUGUCUGGUGCGGGGCUUUUUCCCCGAGGACAUCUCAGUGCAGUGGAUGAAGAACCACAAACCCGAUGAGAGCUUGGAAUAUAUCACCACUCCGACCAUCAAGGACGGAGCAGGCGACUCGAACUUCUUCCUCUACAGCAAGCUGAAAGUCAGCAAGGCCAGCUGGAACAGAGGGGACGUCUACACCUGCAUGGUCACCCACGAAGCCCUGCAGAUGAAGUUCACCCAACGCAGCAUCAGCAAAGUCUCUGGUAAAUGAAGAAGGCUCCUCCCAGCCCCACUGCUAGCACUGUCCUGUACAGCUUCCUGUAAAUAAUCUCUGUGCC